GUGGGAAUACACAACCUCCCCUUCCCUUUUCCCUGUAUGUUGGGUGAUGAGCAUUAUUGCUGAAUGUAGGACAACAUGGUAUUUCAGAGUAUAGACCAUGGUUCUGUGCUGGUGGUCCAUCCUAAACUGAUACUUCUGUGGUGCCUUCACUGUUGCCGUUAGUCAUUUCUGUUAUACAUCUCAGUGUGAGAAAACAUUACGAAGUAGGUAUUUUUCUGAGAUAGUGCCUUUUCUAACUGGCAGUUGUAUAUUAUACUAGGUGUAUGCUACCAUGGGCUGUUAUUAGUAUGUUAGGGAGCACAAAAAGUGACUUCAUCUAACUCACUGCCAAGCUAGAACUUCUCACAGCCUUCAGAUGGGCACAAAAAAAAUAAGAGAAGGCACUGCUCAGGUCUCCCAGCUUUCUCCCUGAUGAGUUUCGGGGCAAUCCAUGUGAUUCUUGAUCUCAGAAAUACGUGGAAAAUAACUUAGAACAGCACCCUGUGUGAGGGAGCCCUGAUCCAUGACUUGGCUACCAGGUACCGGGAUAAUACAAGUGGUAAUCAUGCCUGCUGCUAAACGUUUUCUACCUUAUUUCCAUUUGCAUUUGUUUGCCUUCAGCUUCCAGUCAUUGAUUCUUGUUAUGCCUUUCUCUGAUAGAUUAAAGAGCUCUUUAGUACUCACUAUUUUCUCUCCAGGAAGGUGCUUUUACACUGUAAUCAGAUUACUUCUCAGACUAUUUUUUUUCUUAAAGCUAAAGAUAUGUAUGGUGUUCAUUAUACUUUUUUCCUCAUCUCUGAAUUAUUUUUUGUCUCUUUUCUAUUCCUUCUCUAAUUUUUCUAUUAAAAAAAAGACAUAAAAGUGUAUUUUACUGGUCACAUACACAGAAGCAAUUACUUCACUAGUUGCUCCUAUGUUGGUACGGUGAGAAAUCUAUGUUUUUUUAAGGGCAAGUAAAAUAAACAUCUAUUUAAUGACUUCAGUACAUCUGGGUGUAUAAUUAUCAAACAGAAGAGGAUGGAUUGUUUUAUUAAAAAUGGAAAUGCUUCAGAAGGUCUGUUGAUUCAGAAAAAGUGUGCAGGAGAGGCUUCAAAAGUAUUUGUGCUGAGGAUUUUAAGGAGAUGGAGAGAAAUAAUAACGUCUUGAAAACGGAUGAUAGCUCAAAACCUUAAGUACUAUGGACUACGUGAGAUGUAUUUUUUCUUGUCAGAAUUUUGUAGGAUCAAAUGGAGAACUUUUGUGACAGUCUGGGCUACUGGAAAUAAAUGUAUGGAUGUGAAUAUAUGCAUCCCUUACACCCAUUUAGUUCUGUGAAUAGUCAGUUGCUUAUAUUUGGAAGCCCUAGAACAGUUACAUGAUCUAAAUGUUAUGCUGUAAUAGAAGAAAUAAGGUAGUGUCAAGAAUUUUGUUAUAAGAGCAAUCACCAUUAUGCCAUAUGAGACUUCAAACAAUUAAAAUCCUCAGCUUCAAGGAAGUUCUUGAAAGUUUUACUGCCGCUCUUCAUUUUGAUUUUUAUUCAUACUUCAGUAAAAUGGUGAGUUACAUUUGCCUUAAAGGAGUCUGAUACCUGUGUGGUUGAAGCAUCUUGACCUACCUGAUGACUUUUAUGCAUAUCAGCAUCUGGGAGAAUCCACACUCCCAGAUCCACCCAUAUCCCUCGUGGAAACCAUCAGAUUUACAUGAAGUUGAACCAGAGACUGUUUAAAUAGUGC
RNAcentral lists this long non-coding RNA (1691 nucleotides) under Gallus gallus (chicken). The record is from RNAcentral. Lineage: Eukaryota; Metazoa; Chordata; Aves; Galliformes; Phasianidae.